Molecule: ribosomal RNA, 511 nt
Filed under: uncultured bacterium
Lineage: Bacteria
Description: bacterial SSU rRNA
Rfam family: Bacterial small subunit ribosomal RNA
Source: RNAcentral
AGUUUGAUCAUGGCUCAGAUUGAACGCUGGCGGCAUGCUUUACACAGUGCAAAGUCGAACGGUAACAUAAGAAAGCUUGCUUUCUUGAUGACGAGUGGCGAACGGGUGAGUAAUACAUCGGAACGUACCCUGUAGUGGGGGAUAACUACUCGAAAGAGUGGCUAAUACCGCAUACAACCUGAGGGUAAAAGUGGGGGACCGCAAGGCCUCACGCUAUAGGAGCGGCCGAUGGAAGAUUAGGUAGUUGGUGGGGUAAAGGCCUACCAAGCCGACGAUCUUUAGCGGGUCUGAGAGGACGAUCCGCCACACUGGGACUGAGACACGGCCCAGACUCCUACGGGAGGCAGCAGUGGGGAAUUUUUGGACAAUGGGCGAAAGCCUGAUCCAGCAAUGCCGCGUGAGUGAAGAAGGCCUUCGGGUUGUAAAGCUCUUUUGUUUGGGAAGAAAUCCUUAAGGCUAAUAUCCUUGGGGGAUGACGGUACCAAAAGAAUAAGCACCGGCUAACUACGUG